RNAcentral lists this ribosomal RNA (551 nucleotides) under uncultured Diversisporaceae. Its description in RNAcentral is "SSU rRNA". It matches the Rfam family "Eukaryotic small subunit ribosomal RNA", at positions 548 to 1098 of the family's 1831-position model. The record is from RNAcentral. Lineage: Eukaryota; Fungi; Glomeromycota; Glomeromycetes; Diversisporales.
UUGGAGGGCAAGUCUGGUGCCAGCAGCCGCGGUAAUUCCAGCCCCAAUAGCGUAUAUUAAAGUUGUUGCAGUUAAAAAGCUCGUAGUUGAACUUCGGGGUCUACCCAUUGGUCAGGCUUAAUUGUCUGCACUGGUGAGAUGGAUCUCUACCUUCUGAGGAACUUUCAUGCCAUUUAUUUGGUGUGAUGGGAAAUCAGGACUGUUACUUUGAAAAAAUUAGAGUGUUUAAAGCAGACUAUCGUCUGAAUACAUUAGCAUGGAAUAAUGAAAUAGGACGGACUGAUUCUAUUUUGUUGGUUUCUAGGAUCGAUGUAAUGAUUAAUAGGGAUAGUUGGGGGCAUUAGUAUUCAAUUGUCAGAGGUGAAAUUCUUGGAUUUAUUGAAGACUAACUACUGCGAAAGCAUUUGCCAAGGAUGUUUUCAUUAAUCAAGAACGAAAGUUAGGGGAUCGAAGACGAUCAGAUACUGUCGUAGUCUUAACCAUAAACUAUGCCGACUAGGGAUCGGAUGAUGUUAAUUUUUUAAUGACUCAUUCGGCGCCUUACGGGAAAC